CGAAGAGAUUGUUAUCCCACGAGAACAAUAUGGCCGGUGCGAGUGGUUUAGUUGCUUUUCUUCUUCUUUCAUCCAUGAUAGUCUCCGCAGCACCUGCAACAUUAAUACCAAGAUGUGGCGAAUAUUUUCAUUCAUGGGGUGAGCACGACUCCUGCAUUCCUCCUGAAAAUGAUGAGUGCGACUCAUGGUGCAAGAUCGAUGUGCCAGAGGGGCAUGCGAGCUCAAGCGAGGAAAACAUUAUUGCCAUUGUUACAAGAACUGAAUUUUUUUACUGCUUAAUAAUUUUUUGGAAGCUAUUUGUAAUAAGAAGUAUAAGUUACUUCAGAUAA
This is a non-coding RNA of Aegilops tauschii subsp. strangulata, 329 nucleotides long. The record is from RefSeq and is a predicted model, not a curated record. Lineage: Eukaryota; Viridiplantae; Streptophyta; Magnoliopsida; Poales; Poaceae.